CGAGUGCAAAUGCAGAAGCGUGCUUGACUGUGAGAGCAACAACUCGAACAGGGACGAAAGUCGGGAUUAGUGAUCCGGCGGUGCCGAAUGGAAGGGCCGUCGCUCAACGGAUAAAAGCUACCCUGGGGAUAACAGGCUGAUCUCGCCCAAGAGUUCACAUCGACGGCGAGGUUUGGCACCUCGAUGUCGGCUCAUCGCAUCCUGGAGCUGGAUUCGGUUCCAAGGGUUGGGCUGUCCGCCCAUUAAAGCGGUACGCGAGCUGGGUUCAGAACGUCGUGAGACAGUUCGGUCCCUAUCUGUUGUGGGCGAAGGAGAUUUGAGGAGAGCUGCCCUUAGUACGAGAGGACCGGGGUGGACCUACCGCUGGUGCACCAGUUGUAUCGCCAGAUGCAUAGCUGGGUAGCUAAGUAGGGAAGGGAUAAGCGCUGAAAGCAUCUAAGCACGAAGCCUACUCCAAGAUGAGAUCUCCCAUUCGCAAGAAGUAAGACCCCUUGAAGACGACGAGGUAGAUAGGCCAGGGAUGGAAGUGCAGCGAUGCAUGGAGUUGACUGGUACUAAUCGGUCGAGGACUUAAUCAG
Molecule: ribosomal RNA, 578 nt
Filed under: Faecalitalea cylindroides
Lineage: Bacteria; Bacillati; Bacillota; Erysipelotrichia; Erysipelotrichales; Erysipelotrichaceae
Description: partial 23S ribosomal RNA
Rfam family: Bacterial large subunit ribosomal RNA
Source: RNAcentral